RNAcentral lists this ribosomal RNA (292 nucleotides) under uncultured Planctomycetota bacterium. Its description in RNAcentral is "uncultured planctomycete partial 16S ribosomal RNA". The record is from RNAcentral. Lineage: Bacteria; Pseudomonadati; Planctomycetota.
GGACUACCAGGGUAUCUAAUCCCGUUUGCUCCCCUGGCUUUCGCGCCUCAGCGUCAGAAGAGGUCCAGCACGCCGCUUUCGCCACCGGCGUUCCUUCCGAUAUCUACGCAUUUCACCGCUCCACCGGAAGUUCCACAUGCCCCUACCUCCCUCGAGACGGCCAGUAUCAAAGGCACUUUUCCGGUUGAGCCGAAAGAUUUCACCCCUGACUUGGCCGCCCGCCUACGCGCCCUUUAAGCCCAGUGAAUCCGAACAACGUUUGCACGGUUCGUCUUACCGCGGCGGCUGGCAC